Molecule: transfer RNA, 73 nt
Filed under: Felis catus (domestic cat)
Lineage: Eukaryota; Metazoa; Chordata; Mammalia; Carnivora; Felidae
Also listed under: 5 other names
Rfam family: tRNA
About the family: Transfer RNA (tRNA) molecules are approximately 80 nucleotides in length. Their secondary structure includes four short double-helical elements and three loops (D, anti-codon, and T loops). Further hydrogen bonds mediate the characteristic L-shaped molecular structure. tRNAs have two regions of fundamental functional importance: the anti-codon, which is responsible for specific mRNA codon recognition, and the 3' end, to which the tRNAs corresponding amino acid is attached (by aminoacyl-tRNA synthetases). tRNAs cope with the degeneracy of the genetic code in two manners: having more than one tRNA (with a specific anti-codon) for a particular amino acid; and 'wobble' base-pairing, i.e. permitting non-standard base-pairing at the 3rd anti-codon position.
Source: Rfam by way of RNAcentral
ACCUGGCUGGCUCAGUUGAUGGAGCAUGCGACUCUUAACCUCGGGGUUGUGGGUUUGAGCCCCUUGUCGGGUG